UACGGCCACAUCACGUUGAAACGCCGGUUUCCGUACGAUCGUCAAAGUUAAGCAAUGUCGAGCCUGGUCAGUAGCCAGACGGGUGAUCGCUUACGAAUACUAGAUGCU
Acanthosepion pharaonis is the source of this 108-nucleotide non-coding RNA. NCBI's taxonomy places the organism in Eukaryota, Metazoa, Mollusca, Cephalopoda, Sepiida, Sepiidae. The record is from the annotation of a GenBank genome assembly.